AGGGGUAUAGCUCAAUUGGCAGAGCGUCGGUCUACAAAACCGAAGGUUGGGGGUUCGAUUCCCUCUGCCCCUGCCA
RNAcentral lists this transfer RNA (76 nucleotides) under Rubrivivax sp. RNAcentral describes it as "tRNA-Cys". It matches the Rfam family "tRNA". From Rfam's summary of the family: Transfer RNA (tRNA) molecules are approximately 80 nucleotides in length. Their secondary structure includes four short double-helical elements and three loops (D, anti-codon, and T loops). Lineage: Bacteria; Pseudomonadati; Pseudomonadota; Betaproteobacteria; Burkholderiales; Sphaerotilaceae. The record is from RNAcentral.